CCUACGGGUGGCAGCAGUGAGGAAUAUUGGUCAAUGGACGAGAGUCUGAACCAGCCAAGUAGCGUGAAGGAUGACUGCCCUAUGGGUUGUAAACUUCUUUUAUAUGGGAAUAAAAUGUUCCACGUGUGGGUUUUUGUAUGUACCAUAUGAAUAAGGAUCGGCUAACUCCGUGCCAGCAGCCGCGGUAAUACGGAGGGUCCGGACGUUAUCCGGAUUUAUUGGGGUUAAAGGGAGCGUAUGUGGAGUGUUAAGUCAGGUGUGAAAGUUUGGGGCUCAACCGUAAAAUUGCAGUUGAAACUGGCAGUCUUGAGUACAGUAGAGGUGGGCGGAAUUCGUGGUGUAGCGGUGAAAUGCUUAGAUAUCACGAAGAACUCCGAUUGCGAAGGCAGCUUACUGGACUGCAACUGACACUGAGGCUCGAAAGUGUGGGUAUCAAACAGGAUUAGAUACCCCAGUAGUC
RNAcentral lists this ribosomal RNA (460 nucleotides) under uncultured bacterium. Its description in RNAcentral is "partial 16S ribosomal RNA". It matches the Rfam family "Bacterial small subunit ribosomal RNA", at positions 338 to 795 of the family's 1533-position model. The record is from RNAcentral.